Spinacia oleracea (spinach) is the source of this 606-nucleotide long non-coding RNA. RefSeq lists it as uncharacterized. NCBI's taxonomy places the organism in Eukaryota, Viridiplantae, Streptophyta, Magnoliopsida, Caryophyllales, Amaranthaceae. The transcript has 2 exons. The record is from RefSeq and is a predicted model, not a curated record.
CAGAGAAAAUGGGAAAAAUAAUGCUAUAAAUACCCCCAGCAUUUGAAGGCAAUUCCUCACAACUCAACUGAAAUUACAAUUAAACAGCUUUAUCAAAUAAAAGAAGUUUAGGGAAAAAUUAAAAUGGAAAAAUCUACUUACUUUUUCAGCUUUCUUGCACUUUCUCUCGUUUUCAUGCUUGUUAUAAGCACUGAAAUGCAAACUGCGGAAGCAAAGAGUCCAUGCGGAUGGAUACACAGGGGUAAGGCACCUUGUUUCUUUGGUGAUUGUAAGGAAAAGUGCAGGGAUUUCUACGGAGCUAAAACCGGAAGAUGCACUUAUGCUAAACGUACUUUUGGUUGCUUUUGUAACUAUGGUUCUUGCAAGCGUCACUGAUCCGCUUAACUUCAUAUAAACCUUAUUAUAUAUCCAAGGAUGAAUGAUUACGACUAAUUAUCAUCAUACUACGUAUAAUAUAUAUCCAGUGUGAUUUUAACUUUUGUACUAUGAUUUUCAACCAAUGUAACAUAUAUAUAUAUAUAUAUAUAUACAAAUUUGUUCGUGUGUGUUCAAAUUUAAUACCUAUGUAACCGAUAUAACUUUGAAUAAGACUUUUGAUAACAUAAA